Molecule: non-coding RNA, 136 nt
Organism: Hordeum vulgare subsp. vulgare (domesticated barley)
Lineage: Eukaryota; Viridiplantae; Streptophyta; Magnoliopsida; Poales; Poaceae
Source: Rfam
AAUCUACUCCCUUCGUGCCAAAAUUCUUGUCUUAGGUUUGUCUAAAUAUGAAUGUAUCUAAUCACAUUUUGGUAUUUAGAUACAUCCAUUUCUAAACAAAACUAAGACAAUAAUUUUGAGACGGAGGGAGUAUAUG